CUACGGGUGGCAGCAGUGGGGAAUAUUGGACAAUGGGGGAAACCCUGAUCCAGCAAUGCCGCGUGUGUGAAGAAGGCCUGCGGGUUGUAAAGCACUUUCGGUUGGGAGGACUGCUUCUAGCACUAAUAUUGUUGGAAGUUGACGUUACCUUCAGAAGAAGCACCGGCUAACUCCGUGCCAGCAGCCGCGGUAAUACGGAGGGUGCAAGCAUUAAUCGGAAUUACUGGGCGUAAAGCGCGCGUAGGCGGCUAGAUCAGUCGGGUGUGAAAGCCCCGGGCUUAACCUGGGAACUGCAUCCGAUACUGUCUAGCUUGAGUACAGGAGAGGAGAGUGGAAUUCCGCAUGUAGCGGUGAAAUGCGUAGAUAUGUGGAGGAACACCAAUGGCGAAGGCAGCUCUCUGGCCUGAUACUGACGCUGAGGUGCGAAAGCGUGGGGAGCAAACAGGAUUAGAUACCCCAGUAGUC
Molecule: ribosomal RNA, 465 nt
Filed under: uncultured bacterium
Lineage: Bacteria
Description: partial 16S ribosomal RNA
Rfam family: Bacterial small subunit ribosomal RNA
Source: RNAcentral